CAAACUCCUGGACUCAAGCAAUCCUCCCAUCUCGGCCUCCCAAAGUGCUGGGAUUACACGUGUGAGCCACCAUGCCUGGCCUCAUUGAUUUUUAAAGUAGGACAAGGUAAAGAUCUAACCCCCAAGCCAGGUGUGGUGGCUCACGGCUGUAAUCCCGGCACUUUGGGAGGCUGAGAUGGGCGGUUCACCUGAGGUCAGCCUGGGCGACAGAGGGAGACUCCAUCUCAAAAAAAAAUAAAAAAAACUCCUUACUGAGGUGUUGGCCCAGUGGCCCAAUCCCAGGCCCUGGCCCAGUCUUGAGGGCAGGCAGUGUUGUCACUGCUUUGCUCUUUGACCUGUGGUUACUGCUUCCCAAGGGCCAGGCUUGUUGCAUACUCACUAGCUUUCACGCAGCCCACCCAGCAGCAGCUUACUCUGGCCCUGCCUAGAAAGGCAGAAUGCAGGAAACCUGGCUUUCCGGGUUUUUUUCUUUCCCUUUUUUUUUUUUUUUGGUAGAGACGGGGUUUUGCUGUGUUGCCCAGGCUGGUCUCACACUUCUGGGCUCCAGCAAUCCCCCCACCUCGGCCUCCCAAAGUUUUGGAAUUACAGGUGUGUGGCUUAGCGCCCAGCCCAGGUUUUUCUUUUCUUCUCCCCACCACACAAGCCUUUCCGAACUUGGGCGUUGCCUCCCACUUUCCUAUACCCCUUCCCAUCCAUGGCUUGUUUUUGUUUUGAUUCAGAACAGGCAGAAAUUAAUCUACCUGAUAUACAGAAAUUCAUAUAGAUGAAUUUCUACCUGUUCUGAAUCAAAACACAAGCCAUGUGCAGUGCAUGCCUGUAGUCCCAGCUACUUGGGAGGUGGCUUGAGAGGAUCACUUGAGCCCAGGAGUUCCAGUCCAGCCUGAGCAACACAGUGAGACCCUCAUCUCUAAAAAGCGAAUAAAAACAAAAAAAACACCAAAACAACCAGGAUGUCUCCCAUUUGCACUCCACUUAAGUGUGGAGACUUAGGCUGAUCACAUCACUGCACUCCAGCCUGAGUAACAGACUGAGACCCUGUCUCAAAAAACAAAAUGAGACAAAAAACCUGCUCGUAAUAAAGUGUGAAAUUAUAAAAAGAACCUCUGUUUUUAAAAGUUUUC
RNAcentral lists this long non-coding RNA (1121 nucleotides) under Homo sapiens (human). Its description in RNAcentral is "non-protein coding lnc-CNPY3-3:1". The record is from RNAcentral. Lineage: Eukaryota; Metazoa; Chordata; Mammalia; Primates; Hominidae.